UGCCAUGUAAUCCCCCAUAAUUUUAUACAUUUUAUUAAUAUAUUUUAACGUAUUGUUAAUUAUAUUUAAAUAGAAUUUACGAAUUUUAGAAAUAAAUAUGUAAUUAACGAAUAUUUAUUUUUAUACUUUUAAAUAUUUCAACGGUUUAUGAAAUUAAAAUAAUUUUAGAAUUUGAUGUUGAAAAGAAUUUGAAUUACGAAAACACGAUUGAAAUUAGAAAACAAUCUUAAGCGGUGUUGAAUUCAAAUACCAAACUUAAUUCUAAUCCUAGCCCAAGUUAGCAAACCCCAAAAUAAGUAAACCCACAUCCCUUACCCAUAUUUCAAAUUCAUGUAAAACUCUCAAUCCUCUCCUCUCCUUCACGUGAAAAGAAAAGCAGAAAAACCCUCAAACCCUCUUCAAGAAUUCACGUGAACUCUCACACCUUAGUGCUCUCCUUGUCGCCGCCGUCCAGCCACCCACGUCGGACCACCGUCGCUGCAGUCCCUCGCCACCACCGGCAUCACCAUCCGGUAAACUUCCCCUCCCUUCUCACCUUCUUUCUCUUUCGUUUUCCUUGCUCUCCUCCUCACUGACUUUCUAUUUUGCGAAGCACCACUUGUGCACGCAGCCACCAACACCUUGCCGCUCUUCCGCCUAGUUCCAGCCACCACCUACUCGCGCCGCCGGUCCUUCCCCCUGCCCGCAACCACCGCGCACCCCGGUCGCACCAUUGUUUCGUCGCUGCCGCACAUGUGCUCCGCCGGCCAACCUCUUCUUUUCCACGUUUUGGUGGAGAAUUCUCCGUUGGCGAUUUUUGAAUUAUUAAAGUAGUCUUGCAGUUUGUUUACACAAGUUUCUAAGGAUCAAUAAGCAUUGUCCAUCUGCAGGUUUGAAGAUGUUGCAUCAUUGGGAUCGGGAAUCGAGAGCUUGUAUUUAGUUUUGAUUUGCUAAGUUGACUUGGGUUUGUUUAAUUGGACUUUAAACUUGUCAUACUAUUUAUAUUUCCUUAUGUUCGUUGGUUGAUUUUUGGGACUAAACCUGUAAUCGAUUAUUUAUAAACCUAAAGUUAGUUUUAUGUUUUCCGCUGCAAAAUUCUGAAUAAGCCGUUACGUUUUCACACGGGCGAUAAUGCCUUGAUAAUUCUCUACGUUUUAUAUUAAAAGGUUAUUUUAGAAAAGAGAGAAUUGUCGG
This is a long non-coding RNA of Spinacia oleracea (spinach), 1173 nucleotides long. RefSeq lists it as uncharacterized. The record is from RefSeq and is a predicted model, not a curated record. The transcript has 4 exons. NCBI's taxonomy places the organism in Eukaryota, Viridiplantae, Streptophyta, Magnoliopsida, Caryophyllales, Amaranthaceae.